RNAcentral lists this ribosomal RNA (464 nucleotides) under uncultured bacterium. RNAcentral's name for it is "partial 16S ribosomal RNA". It matches the Rfam family "Bacterial small subunit ribosomal RNA", at positions 339 to 795 of the family's 1533-position model. The record is from RNAcentral.
CUACGGGUCGCAGCAGUGAGGAAUAUUGCACAAUGGGCGAAAGCCUGAUGCAGCGACGCCGCGUGGAGGAUGACGGUUUUCGGAUUGUAAACUCCUGUUAAGUGGGAAAAAAGACUUGCUAUGAAUAAGAGCGAGGGAUGAUUGUACCACUAAAGAAAGCACCGGCUAACUUCGUGCCAGCAGCCGCGGUAAUACGAGGGGUGUAAACGUUAUUCGGAAUCAUUGGGCGUAAAGGGUGUGUAGACGGCAAAUUAAGUCAAUUAUUAAAUCUCCUGGCUUAACUGGGAGCUUGUGGUUGAGACUGUUUUGCUAGAGGAUGGAAGAGAGAAGUGGAAUUCUCGGAGUAGCGGUAAAAUGCGUAGAUCUCGAGAGGAACACCGAUGGCGAAGGCAGCUUCUUGGUCCAUUUCUGACGUUGAGGCACGAAAGCGUGGGGAGCAAACAGGAUUAGAUACCCCCGUAGUC